Molecule: ribosomal RNA, 461 nt
Filed under: uncultured Clostridia bacterium
Lineage: Bacteria; Bacillati; Bacillota; Clostridia
Description: bacterial SSU rRNA
Rfam family: Bacterial small subunit ribosomal RNA
Source: RNAcentral
GCACAAGCAGUGGAGCAUGUGGUUUAAUUCGACGCAACGCGAAGAACCUUACCAAGCCUUGACAUCCCCUGACCAGGUAUGAAAGUACCGUCUUUAGCUUGCUAGACAGGGAGACAGGUGGUGCAUGGUUGUCGUCAGCUCGUGUCGUGAGAUGUUGGGUUAAGUCCCGCAACGAGCGCAACCCCUAUUCUGUGUUACCAGCGGUUCGGCCGGGGACUCACAGGAGACUGCCGGAGACAAUUCGGAGGAAGGUGGGGAUGACGUCAAAUCAUCAUGCCCCUUAUGGCUUGGGCGACACACGUGCUACAAUGGCCGGCACAGAGGGCUGCGAUGGGGCGACCCAGAGCCAAUCCCUUAAAACCGGUCCCAGUUCGGAUCGGAGGCUGCAACCCGCCUCCGUGAAGCCGGAAUUGCUAGUAAUCGCGGAUCAGAACGCCGCGGUGAAUACGUUCCCGGGCCUU